GGGAACACCCGGAAUGGCACCGGGAAUACCGGAAAACACCGGGACACGGAACACCGGGAACAUCAAGAAUACCGGAAACACCGGGAACACCGAAAACACCGGGAAUAGCGGGACACGGAACACAGGGAACACCGAAAACACCGGGAAUAGCGGGACACGGAACACCGAGAAUACCGGGAACACCGGGAACAGCGGGACACGGAACACCGGGAAUACCGGGAACAGCGGGACACGGAACACCGGGAGCACCGGAACCGGAACCGGAACCGGAACCGGAGCAGCACCGCGGGCUCGUCCUGCUGGUACCGGCGCGGUUGGGGGGCGAGAGCCUGAACCCGGUGUACGUGGAGUGUGUCAAGGUGGGUCUGGGGGCUACCGGGGGCGUUCCCGGGGCCGGUCCCGGUACCGAUCCCAGUGCUGGUACCGAUCCUGGUACCGAUCCCGAUCCCGGUGCCGAUCCUGGUACCGAUCCCGGUGCCGGUACCGAUCCUGGUACCGAUCCCGGUGCCGGUACCGAUCCCGAUGCCGAUUCCGAUGCCGAUCCCGGACCCGAUCCCGGUACCGAUCCCGGUCCCGGAGCCGGUCCCGGUGCUGAUCCUGGUCCCAGUGCUGAUCCCGGUCCUGGUACCGAUCCCGGUCCCGAUCCUGAUCCCGAUCCCGGUCCUGUUGCCGGUACCGAUACCGGUGCCGAUCCUGAUCCCGGUCCUGAUCGCGGUCCCGGUGCCGAUCCCGGUCCUGGUGCCGGUGCCGAUCCCGGUUCCGAUCCCGAUCCUGGUCCUGGUGCCGGUCCCCGUCCCGAUCCUGGUGCCGGUACCGAUGCCGGUCCCCAUGCCGAUCCCGGUACCAAUGCUGGUCCCGAUCCCGGUGCCGGUACCGAUGCCGGUCCUGGUGCCGGUCCCUGUCCCGAUCCCGGAGCCGGUCCCGGUGCUGAUCCUGGUCCC
Long non-coding RNA from Cyanistes caeruleus (blue tit), 941 nucleotides. The record is from Ensembl. NCBI's taxonomy places the organism in Eukaryota, Metazoa, Chordata, Aves, Passeriformes, Paridae.